AAAAUUUUAAUUUUGUUAAGAUGCCAAUACAACCUACAGAGGUGAACAAAUUCAGUACAAUCUCUAUAAAAAUCUCAAUAGCACAGUUAUUACAGAAAUAUUCUUUAAAAUUUUUAAAUGUGAUUGUGAACUAUAACUAACCAAACACCCAUGAAAAGAACAAACAGGCAUUAUACUUCCCGAUUUUAAAACAUUAAAAGCUACAAUAACAAAAACAGUAUGGUACUGAUACAAAGACAGAUAAACAGAUGAAAGAGCAGAAUAGAGAGUUCAGAAAUGAACCCUUGUGUAUAUGAUUAAAUGAUCUUCCACAAAGCUGCCAUGAACACACCAUAGAGAAAAGAUAAUCAUUUCAAAAAAUGUUAAGAACUAAAUGUCAACACUGAUAAAGUUGGAUCAUUUCCUUGAACCGUAUAUAAAAAAUGUUUUCAAUAAAAUACUUACAUAAAAAAACUAACGAAUCUCUUAGAACAAAAUAGAAAAAAGUCAUGACAUGGGUCUUGGCACCAUUUUCUUAGAUACAACAUUAAAUGCAUGAGCAACAACAGAAAAACAGAAAAAUUUAACUACACGCUACUUCAAAAUUUAUCCACAUUAGAAAAAAAAAACAUUCAACUGUGUAAAAAUGCCUCAUGACAUUGGUCUUGGCACCAUUUUCUU
RNAcentral lists this long non-coding RNA (660 nucleotides) under Homo sapiens (human). Its description in RNAcentral is "HSALNT0257217". The record is from RNAcentral. Lineage: Eukaryota; Metazoa; Chordata; Mammalia; Primates; Hominidae.